RNAcentral lists this unclassified non-coding RNA (337 nucleotides) under soil metagenome. RNAcentral's name for it is "partial contains 5.8S ribosomal RNA, internal transcribed spacer 2, and large subunit ribosomal RNA". The stretch from base 1 to 120 matches the Rfam family "5.8S ribosomal RNA", at positions 35 to 154 of the family's 154-position model. The record is from RNAcentral.
GAUGAAGAAUGUAGCGAAAUGCGAUAAGUAAUGUGAAUUGCAGAAUUCCGUGAAUCAUCGAAUCUUUGAACGCACAUUGCGCCCCCUGGCAUUCCGGGGGGCAUGCCUGUCCGAGCGUCAUUUCUGCCCUCAAGCACGGCUUGUGUGUUGGGUGUGGUCCCCCCGGGGACCUGCCCGAAAGGCAGCGGCGACGUCCGUCUGGUCCUCGAGCGUAUGGGGCUCUGUCACUCGCUCGGGAAGGACCUGCGGGGGUUGGUCACCACUAUAUUUUACCACGGUUGACCUCGGAUCAGGUAGGAGUUACCCGCUGAACUUAAGCAUAUCAAUAAGCGGAGGA